CGUUUUUAUAGUGUAAAAAACAUAUGGUCCUUUCAAGGCCAAGCUAACAAAGUGUUUGAAAACGA
RNAcentral lists this transfer RNA (65 nucleotides) under Baikalogammarus pullus. Its description in RNAcentral is "tRNA-Glu". Lineage: Eukaryota; Metazoa; Arthropoda; Malacostraca; Amphipoda; Baikalogammaridae. The record is from RNAcentral.